This is a non-coding RNA of Arachis ipaensis, 1788 nucleotides long. Lineage: Eukaryota; Viridiplantae; Streptophyta; Magnoliopsida; Fabales; Fabaceae. The record is from RefSeq and is a predicted model, not a curated record.
UUUUAUAACUCUUGGGCUCUAGGCACUUUACAAUUUACAUUCUCUCUUAUCUCUCCUUCUAUCUGUUCUCAAACAUGGCUACCGAAACCCUAGAUGCUCCCAAACCUCAACCACUGGCUCCCAAUGGAGAUGCUCCGACCAAAGCAGAAGCUGACCAACACGAAAUUCAAGAUGAAGAACAGCAACACGACAAGGAAAUUUCUGAUGACCUUCCCGAGCAGAAAAACUGUGGCCAAUUAGAAGAGAAUGUGGAUCGUGAAGAAGAUGCAGAAGAAGAUGAAGAUGAAGAUGAAGAGGGUGAGAAGAAAGAAAAUGAUGUUGUUACACCAGUAAAGAGUGCAAGUGGGGGUAGACCUACCAGAGAAAGGAAAUCAGUGGAAAGGUACACUGUGUCCUCUCCACACAAGUUCCCUGGUUAUGCUGCUACUAAAACUAUCUCAAUCGACCAGGGCAAUGGCACUCAGCUUAAGGACAUCCCAAACGUGGCUUUCAAGCUAUCAAAAAGAAAAGUCGAUGAUAACUUGCGUAGCCUUCAUAGUAUACUGUUUGGGAAGAAAGCAAAGGCACACACUUUAAAGAGAAACAUAGGCAUGUUUUCUGGCUAUGUGUGGGCAGAAAAUGAGGAAAAACAGAGGGCCAAGGUAAAAGAGAGGCUUGACAAAUGUGUGAAAGAAAAAUUGAUUGACUUCUGUGAUGUGCUCAAUCUUCAAAUAAACAAGUCCUCUUUGAAGAAGGAGGAACUGUCUGCAAAGCUGUUGGAGUUUUUGGAAUCCCCUCAUGCUACAACCGAUGUCUUGCUUGCUGAUAAAGAAAAGAAAGGUAAAAAGCGUGCAAAAAAGAAAACUCCAAGAAAAUCUUCUGGUGGUGCUGCUGAAAACCCUUCGAAGAAGCAAAAGCAAAGUUCAAAAAAUGGGAAAAAGCGAAAGCAGUCUUCUGACAGUGAGGAAAAUGAUACAACCGAACCUUCAGAUGCAACAAACAGUUCUCAGGAAGAUGAGGAUGAUGGUGAAAAUGUUUCAGUCCCAAAAAGUGAAAGUGACUGUGAGGUUCAGGAAAGUCAAUCUGAUGAAGAGGAAAAUAAAAAUACUUCAGAGAAAACUGUGAACGAGGAUCACUCUACACCAGCCAAGAAAACCUCUCCUGAAAAGGUUGCCAAGAGCAAUGACAAAAUGCCAAAAAAAUCAACUUCUGCGUCCAAGAGACAGAAAACUGAUGGUGAAAGCAGGGAGAGUAAGCAAAAGAUUGCAAACGAAAAUGAAACAGGCAAAUCUUCAAAGUCAGUGUCUAAGGAUCAAGCCAGUAAUGGCAGGACAAGGCAACAUCAGUAAGAAAGCAAAUGCAGAACCUACUAAGGAGGAUAUGCAUGCAGUGGUUGUUAAUAUGUUGAAGGAAGUUGAUUUCAACACUGCAACUUUAUCUGAUAUCCUCAAGAAACUUGGUACUCAUUUUGGAUUGGAUUUAAUGCAUAGAAAAGCUGAGGUAAAAGAUAUAAUUACAGAUGUAAUCAAUAACAUGUCUGACGAGGAAAAUGAAAAUGGAGAUGAUGAAGAUGAAGAUAAUGCAUGAUUAUACCUCAGAAAAUAAUCUUAAUUUUGUGCAGAAAUCACAUGCAUGUGGUUUAUUUUACUGCUGGCUUUGCUGAUCUUAGGCUUUAGUAGAUUGUAUUUUGUGAUCCGUUUUCAUUAGUUAGGUUGAAUUGUCCUCGAGUUAGGCUAGAUUUACUCCCUUUCCUUGUGUUUAUUAUGUAACCUGAUAUUAUAUAUACUAUAUUGUUAAAUUAUUUUAAAA